This 233-nucleotide unclassified non-coding RNA is filed under the name Klebsiella ornithinolytica. RNAcentral's name for it is "Raoultella ornithinolytica partial 16S-23S ribosomal RNA intergenic spacer". The stretch from base 94 to 226 matches the Rfam family "Salmonella enterica Typhi npcRNA 44". The record is from RNAcentral. Lineage: Bacteria; Pseudomonadati; Pseudomonadota; Gammaproteobacteria; Enterobacterales; Enterobacteriaceae.
CCUGAAAGAACCUGCCUUUGUAGUGUCCACACAGAUUGUCUGAUGAAUGAUAAAUUUCAAAAUGUACUGAGAAGUGCAUUGUGAAAUUUUGCUCUUUAAAAAUCUGGAUCAAGCUGAAAAUUGAAACGACACACUGUUUCCUUUCUCCGUAAUAAGAAAGGAAAAAGCGGUGUGUUCGAGUCUCUCAAAUUUUCGCAACGCGGACUGUUUUACGAAACAGUUUCGGGUUGUGA